CCUACCCCUAGGAGAUCAAAACCCCUCGUGCAUCCGCUACACCACUUUUUAA
RNAcentral lists this transfer RNA (52 nucleotides) under Ommatotriton nesterovi. RNAcentral's name for it is "partial tRNA-Gln". Lineage: Eukaryota; Metazoa; Chordata; Amphibia; Caudata; Salamandridae. The record is from RNAcentral.